This 1078-nucleotide long non-coding RNA is filed under the name Corvus moneduloides (New Caledonian crow). Its description in RNAcentral is "lncRNA (ENSCMUG00000018260.1)". The record is from RNAcentral. Lineage: Eukaryota; Metazoa; Chordata; Aves; Passeriformes; Corvidae.
GGGAAGCAACUGAGAUAUUAAUUCCCUCUUCCAACUUUUUUCACUAGAGCAGGUGUCUUAGCAGAUCCCUAAAAGAUUUCUUUGACGGUGUGACUGGUUGACAAGGAAACAAGCAGAGGCAGAGGAAAGCACCUCCAAAUGAGGAGGGCACUUAAAGCUAAGGGUAAAUAUUUCAGGAAGAGAGAUAUGAAAUGAGCAACGUUUGCAGAUGAGCUGUAGAGGUGCCACAGACCAGGAGAGGGCAUGGUGAUAUCUGUUUCCAGUGGAGAAAAGCUGUUUUAGUAAAGCAGUUAAACCCUGACUUAAUUCUCAUAAUUUGUUCUGGAAAAUCCACUCCAAAGUGAAUUGAUUUCUCUUGUACACUUCUUUGACACCUUUUUCUGCAUAUUCUCUAUUUCUUUGCUGUAUGGAGCAUGCAGGUUACUCCCUCUGCUUCUCUACCAUCCUUAGCACGUGUGAGGAAAAGGGGAAUGCUCACAGAGCUGCUGCCAUGGGAGACAUGAUGCCAGCAAGAAUCAAGGAAGAGCUAAAUGGGGAACAUAUGCUCUAUAUUAGUAUCCAAAGAUGGAAAAUGCAUGGAGGAGUGCAUAGCAUGAGCAGAAGAAGCCAAAAUCAAGAAUAUAUGCAAAUCUAGAAGAAGCCAUUUGAAUUUCCCAUUAAACUUUGACUUGCAGGUGCUUGCUUUUUUCACUGAUGACAUUUGCAGGGGUGAGUACUGUGUGUUAGAAGACUUUCCAAAAGUUGCUAACUUCUGUCCCAAAAAACAGACAGAAAAGGAUCUGGAAGCCUCAGCUUCUACUAUCUGUGCAGGAUGAGCAGGAACAAAUGACCAGGCAGUUUGUCAUCCCUCUCCCUCUGGAACUGGGACCCUUAAUGGUGCAUUUUUACUCUUGCAGAAGAUGGACUGAAGAAGCAUGUAGUCACCCCAGUAUCAGAGGUCUUGAUCCAGUAUUUCCUGAGUGUGUAGGGCAUCUGACAGCAAGGUGAGCCUUUCAAUUAGCCCAAAAGACACAACUAGUGAAAAUUUUUUCAGCAGAACAGUUUUUUUCAUUAGGAAAUAACAUUUCUUUAAAAUAAG